This 270-nucleotide unclassified non-coding RNA is filed under the name Hevea brasiliensis (rubber tree). The record is from RNAcentral. Lineage: Eukaryota; Viridiplantae; Streptophyta; Magnoliopsida; Malpighiales; Euphorbiaceae.
CUCACUGAUAACCUCUCCACCAGUAAGAAUGGCAAGAUCAUCUAAAUUUGCUCGUCUGUUUUCCCCAAAACCAGGAGCUUUAAUGGCACAGACCUUAACUCCUGCAUGAUGCUUGUUGAGAAUAAGCAUAGCUAGAGAAUCACUGUCCACAUCCUCAGCCACAACUAGAAGUGGUUUGUUUUUUUUUACUGCCAGCUCUAAUAUUCUCACAAGUGAAUUCAUGUCUGAAAUUUUCUUCUCAUAAAUGAGGAUCAAAGGAUUUUCAAGCUC